UUCGUUAUGACAGAUCGAUUGUUUUUCAAAUUUUGUUAUUUAUUUUUAUACAAAUAAAUUUAUAUUUCUGGUAUAUUUUUUUAAGAAAUCCAAAAUAAAACGAGGUCGAAAUAAAAUUUAACUUAUAAAUAAUAAUUGUCCGAUAUUUAAAAAAAAAAUCCUUCCAUAACUAUAUCAAAUCGUUCGAUACUUUAUCCAAAUUCAAAAAAUUAUCUCAAAUAAAACAGAAAAAAAAAAAAUAAUACGCAUGAAAAAUUGUUUUCUUCUACGGAUAUAUUUAUUCCAGGAUUAUCUUUCUCUUCCCCUACAAUCGUAAUCCUAUUUCGAUGUACUUACGCUACAAACACCGAUUCAACACGAUUCAAAUCCCGUCCUAAUUUAAAUUCCCCACGACCCACUUUCCCUCCGAAUUCCCAAACUCCCAACUGUCAAAAAUCACCCGCAAAUUCUCAGAAUUUACCAUUUCCAUCCACAUUGGAAACGGUUUUUACUUUGCCAAAAACCCGUUUGCCCGCGCAGAGUAUCCGUGUAAAUCGGACCAACUGUGCCUGUGUAUAAAUCAACGACGCUGCGGUAUUCCAUUCUCUCUCAAGUCUCGAGUGUCGAUUGGGUGAUAUCUAGUUAGAGAUGGCCGCGCCCUGUGUGGCGAACACUUGAACGAAUAACCGUCUAACCGGCGAGCAAACGGACAACAGACACGGACAAGAGUUUGCAUGUGUAAGAGGCGAAAGAAUUGUCAAGCCCACAAAGAGUAAAAGAAAGAUGUAUAAAAAUACAUAUAUAUAUAUACAUAUAUGUGAAAAAUAUGCGUGUAGGUGGGUGCAGAUAUAUUUGGACGUUCAACCUAUAUAAAAUGUUUGUGGAAAUUUGUGGAUUCAAGUACAUUCGAUUUCUCUAAGAUAGAAUUGUUGUAGCAUGGAAUUAUUAAAAGAUCAUUCUAUUUCUCAGAUCGUAUCACAAGAAAUAAUCGAAAGAAUUCUCUCGCACCCACCUGACACGCAAGAAGACCAGAAAAAAAAAGAAGAGAACGAAAACCAAAACGAAAAUCGAAGAAAAGGAAAAAAAAGAAAAUAAGGAAGAGCGUGUACAGUCGUAGAGACAUUAUCACUCACUCGGCGUUGGUCUCCGGCGUGGGUAGGUCGCCGAUCGUGGUGAGGGUGAGGGUGGACCAGUAGAGCGAGCCGAGAUACUUCCUGGUCAGGGUCGCGUACUCCCCCGGCCUGUACGGGUAGACCCAGUCCCCUUGGAAUCCUUCCGCCUCGCUGAGCAAGUAGUAAAAGCAGCCGAACCAGUGCGCCAGUAUAAGCAGUAUGUGUAUCAGAUUCAACACGCGCCACAGAUUCGGGUAGACCGUCCUCGACUCGACCAUGUAGUAAUAAUUGUACACCCGAUAUAUCUUGAGAAAUCUCGGGAACCUGAGCAUCGGAUUGCUCCCCAGAUUAACCUGGAGUAGGUCGAGGGGCAACAAGGCCAACAGAUCCAAUACGAACGAUUUCGACUUGAGGUAAUGGCCUGCCAGUUUCUUGCUGUUGUAAACCAUCAAACCUUGUUCCAGGUAACCGGUACGGAAUUGCACGGCAACGUCGAGAAAGAAUACCAGGUCCGUGAAACCGUCGCAGGCGAGCCACGUGGCCGGGGCGACCGCCUGCAACUCGGGCAAACUUUGGCGCACGAUCAACGUCCACAGAUUGUACAACACGCAGGCGGAGAGAAGCAUAAGCCAAUAAUAAUAAAAGUUCUCGUCCGGGUUGACCACGGUUUUCGGUGGCCUCUGCAGCCUUCGAGGCCUUCUUCGCCGCCUCCCGCUCGAGUCCUUGUCGUCGGCUGCGUCCCCCUCCCCCUCGCCCGUGUCCAACGUCUCCUGGCUCUCGGGUAUCUGCCUGGUCGAGAACCUCUUCAGGAACGAGUCUUCCCGUUUCAAAGGCGGUUUCUUCUGGAUCGUCGAGAUGGCGGAUGACAAUUGGACGGUGGUGCGCAGCUUCAUCCAACGUUGAUUGCUCUUCGUUCUGGGAACAGAGAGAGGAGUAGAUCGCCAGAUGAGGGAUGAAACGAUGGGGGUGGGGAAAGGGGAGCGGGUGGAUUGGAUGGUUCGGAAGUUUCGCGUGUUCACGCGUGCUUACCUCGUGGCGCUCUUUCUGGAGGGGGGGGGGGGGAUAGUCUUAUCAGAAUGAAGAGAAAAUAAACUUUUCGAGACUCUUCGUGAAAAUCGGAGAUGUUUAUUCUUGAAGGAUAGGAUGGGAAUUGAAGGAUUUCAGGAUCGAAGAGGAUGAAGUUUAAGGUUUUGAUUGUCAUUUUAGGUUAUUUUUGUCCAUGUGGAUUAUUUUAGUUUUUUUUUGUAAUUUGUUUGAAUUAAAAUUUAAUUUCUGCAGAUUUUUUACGCUCAUUUUAGUAAGCUAGUACGUUAUUUAAAAGUUGAUUGGAAUAAAGUUGAUAAUCUGCAACGA
Apis cerana (Asiatic honeybee) is the source of this 2444-nucleotide long non-coding RNA. RefSeq lists it as uncharacterized. NCBI's taxonomy places the organism in Eukaryota, Metazoa, Arthropoda, Insecta, Hymenoptera, Apidae. The record is from RefSeq and is a predicted model, not a curated record.